RNAcentral lists this long non-coding RNA (411 nucleotides) under Ananas comosus (pineapple). RNAcentral describes it as "long non-coding RNA (ACOM_LNC042243)". Lineage: Eukaryota; Viridiplantae; Streptophyta; Magnoliopsida; Poales; Bromeliaceae. The record is from RNAcentral.
AGAAACCGCAGGUAACCAAAAAAUUUUCUAACAAAAUAAACCAAUAAAUUCUCUAUAUUUCAGAUAAAAUGUUAAGAAUAUAACCUCAUUAUCCUUUUUGAUUUGUAGUUACAUUGAGAGUUCUCAAUCUGAUGAUGAAGAAGAAUGAAGACAGUUGCUAUUUGUGACACCCCAAUAGUCCCACAUCGGAUGGGAAUAGGGUUGUCAUUGGGUUUAUAAGAGACUUAAACACUAGUAAUAAUAACUGGGCUUAAGUAUUUUGGGCCAGUUGUUGGGCCCAACGAGUUAUUAUUGCUAGUGGGCUGGGUCGUUACACUAUUGAAAUUUGGCAAGAAUUAUCUUCCUAAAGAAUUUGAAGGAUAUGUGUAAUAAAGUUAUUAUACUUUAAUUACUGUAUUUUGGUUAUACUAU